RNAcentral lists this small nuclear RNA (89 nucleotides) under Loxodonta africana (African savanna elephant). The record is from RNAcentral. Lineage: Eukaryota; Metazoa; Chordata; Mammalia; Proboscidea; Elephantidae.
GUGAUUGUUGCUCAGCAGCACAUAUAUUAAAAUCGGAACAAUACAGAGAUUAGUAUGACAUGAAAAUUUGUGAAGCAUUCCAUAUUUUU